Molecule: long non-coding RNA, 218 nt
Organism: Megalops cyprinoides (Indo-Pacific tarpon)
Lineage: Eukaryota; Metazoa; Chordata; Actinopteri; Elopiformes; Megalopidae
Exons: 4
Source: RefSeq, a predicted model, not a curated record
AAACGUAUUCAUAGGGAGAAAGAAGGGACAAAUGACAGGCAUCAGAAGUAGUAGAACACAUGUUUUCUCACGUACCAGAAGAUGAUCCUGAUGUUGGAACAAGACGGCUAUUCUUAUUCAGUGUGACUCCCAGGCUGCAAAGUGAAAGCCAUUCAAGGAAAAGAGAAGAAAUGUAUAUGUCAGAAGAAGCAGAUGAAAGAAGUCCUUUAAUACCCAGG